Molecule: microRNA precursor, 137 nt
Filed under: Oryza brachyantha (malo sina)
Lineage: Eukaryota; Viridiplantae; Streptophyta; Magnoliopsida; Poales; Poaceae
Description: MIR812 microRNA precursor family
Rfam family: MIR812 microRNA precursor family
Source: Rfam by way of RNAcentral
UGACUAUUCGUCUUAUUUGAACUUUUUAUGAUUAAUAUUUUUAUUAUUAUUAGAUAAUAAAAUAUGAGUAGUACUUUACGUGUGACUAAUUUUUUCGAGUUUUUUUUUAUAAAAUAUUCAAAUAAGGCAGAUGAUCA